This 494-nucleotide ribosomal RNA is filed under the name uncultured bacterium. RNAcentral's name for it is "partial 16S ribosomal RNA". It matches the Rfam family "Bacterial small subunit ribosomal RNA", at positions 28 to 507 of the family's 1533-position model. The record is from RNAcentral.
GGCGAACGCUGGCGGCGUGCUUAACACAUGCAAGUCGAACGGAAAGGCCUGCUUUCCCUUGUGGAUUGCGGGUACUCGAGUGGCGAACGGGUGAGUAACACGUGAGUGAUCUGCCCCCAACUUGGGUAUAAGCCUGGGAAACUGGGUCUAAUUCCCGAUAGGACUGCAGGGUGGUGUCUGUGGUGGAAAACGAUUUUCUAGUGGUUGGGGAUGAGCUCGCGGCCUAUCAGCUUGUUGGUGGGGUAAUGGCCUACCAAGGCGGCGACGGGUAGCCGGCCUGGGGUGGUGGGCGGGCACAGUGGGACGGAGAUACGGCCCAGGAGCCUACGGCAAGAAGCAGUCGGGAGGAAGGCGCGAGGAGCGGAAGACAGAGGGAGCGAGGCCGCGUGAGGGAUGACGGCCUUGGGAUUGUGAACUCCUUUCGGCAGCGAGGAAGCGACCGGGUUGGAAGGGUGGUGACGGUAGUGGUAGAAGAAGCACCGGCUAACUACGUG